AGAAAACCCUUUGGGGAGGUUUUGCUCUGUCACAUGGGGUCACUAUGAGUCAAAAACAACUUGAGAGCACCUAACAACAAGAGAAGACAGGAGGCAAGGAGAGCUGGACCAGUGGGAAGAGGCUUCGUGGAGGAGGGACAUCUAAUGAACAGUGGCUUGGAAAUUAGUGAGUAGGUGAGAGGUUGGAGGGCGUGGUUUAGGGAGCAGAGGACAGAACGUUAGAGUACAGGGUGGGGACAGGCAGAGAGAGAAGCUAGAGUAAAAUAAACCACCAUUGGUUGAAUGCCUACUAUAUGCUACCCACAGUGCCUAGAAAUAACUUUCCAACUGUUAUUUCAUGUUUAUUCUCCCAACAAGAAUGAUACUAUAUUUAUUUCUAUUCUACAGAUGGGGAAACUAAGGGGCUUAAAUAAACUUAGACUCGACUCGAUGGCCAAUGAGAGGUCUCUGAUAGUGGCCGAACUGGGGAGUAGCUUGCGAGUAAUGAUAAUGGAGUAAGAUUGGCCUGGUGGUGGUGUCCAGGGUGCUGGAGAACAUUGCCCAUCUACUUCCUGAGGAGUCAAGAGAGGACGUGAACCAUGGCGACCUUAGGACACUGAAUGAUGAUCUCUGACCUAGGGAGUCAGCUCGUGACUCAGGGCCCCUGAGGCCAUGCCCAGGUCAGGAUUGGGGAAGGAGAAGAUGAUCUAAGGACAUCAGACCUGCCCCCAGGCUCAAGAACACCCAGCAGCGUGCCCUCAGGAGGCUUGCUGGACUCUGGGAUGGCUGCCUAGAAGAUGCUGGUUAGAAGGUAUGAAAGCAUGGCAAUAUUUUCUGGAACAAUGUAUUGGGAAGAUGGGUGGAGGAGCGGGGAGUGGAUGAGGUUAAGAAGGAAUGAAGAGGAGUAGAUUAGUAGUUUCCAAAAGGGGAAGUUCAGUGAGUAGGUAUGGCUACUCUUAAAAGAAGCUGUGGGUUUUAUAGUUUGUGGGUUUUAUUAAAGGUCUAAGUUUUGAGGUCAAAUCUGGAUUCAUAUUUCUGCCUCCACCACUUACUGUGUAACUCACGUGACUUGCUUGAGCCUCGUUUUACUCUUCUGUCAAAUGAGGUUAAUAAUAAACUCUUGAGGUUGUUGUAAAACUUAAAAUGAAAUCAUAUAAAGAGCCUGCACAGAGUAAGAAAUCAAAGGAUGACAAUGGAAAACCAACCAAAUCAGGUGGUAGCUGGCCGUGGGCAUCAGCAGGGGUCCAUGGGCUCAGGGCCUUGGGUAGGAUGUGUCAAGUCUAUGUCACAUAGUAGACACACAAUAUAGGGCUUCAGAUGGCUGGCAUUAGUCAUAGGAGAGCUGCAAAGAGUCACACACAAGCACACCCUCACACUCACACUCACAACAGAUAAGAUUGCUUAAGUUUGCCUCAGUCCCAGGGAUGAAUAACAGGUCUGCAGACCAGUGUGUUUCCCCAGCCAUGUCGCCAGGAAGGAUGGCCCACAGGAUCCCAGAGAGCCCUGAGCAGAGGGGGAUUUUAGAAGGAAGCUUACUGAAAAGCAUAGGUUCCCAUGGCUGUGAAGGAUGCUGGAAGAAAGGAAAGUAACACUGGCGUGGCAGCCCAAC
This is a long non-coding RNA of Trichechus manatus latirostris (Florida manatee), 1588 nucleotides long. RefSeq lists it as uncharacterized. The transcript is spliced from 3 exons. NCBI's taxonomy places the organism in Eukaryota, Metazoa, Chordata, Mammalia, Sirenia, Trichechidae. The record is from RefSeq and is a predicted model, not a curated record.